This is a non-coding RNA of Bactrocera oleae (olive fruit fly), 462 nucleotides long. NCBI's taxonomy places the organism in Eukaryota, Metazoa, Arthropoda, Insecta, Diptera, Tephritidae. The record is from RefSeq and is a predicted model, not a curated record.
UUGGUUGCCACAUUAACGCUGCGGCAGCAGCAACAACAGCAACAGUAAGCGUAAUAACAACACUUUGUUAAAUGAUAAUAUUUAAUAGUAAUAACCCGAGCGAGUAGCCAAAGCUAGCAGUGUAGAAAAGUGACCGAAGACAACGCGUGGAAAAAAAGCGCCCAACACUUCGCGCAAGCACGGUGCUACUGAUUUAUAUAACGGAGGUCGAGAAAGAGAAUUUUAUUUUCGUAAUUUUCAUAAAAUCUCCCCUAAGUUCCCGCACAUUCGGAGUACCGUCAAUUGCAAUGGAUUUCCUCUUUCAACUAUCUACAAUUUGGCAGAAAUUGGAACGUGGAGAAUCGAACGGGCACUGGUAUAAAUUAAACAAGUAAAUUUGGUGACUAGGCAGAAGAGUUCAAACAUGAUGAGCAGAGAUUGAGGCGAAUCCAAGACGAUUAUUAAAAAUUAUGCUUAUAAUGC